CCUACGGGAGGCAGCAGUGAGGAAUAUUGGACAAUGGGCGCAAGCCUGAUCCAGCCAUGCCGCGUGCAGGAAGAAGGUCCUAUGGAUUGUAAACUGCUUUUAUACAGGAAGAAACAACGCUACGUGUAGCGUCUUGACGGUACUGUAUGAAUAAGGACCGGCUAACUCCGUGCCAGCAGCCGCGGUAAUACGGAGGGUCCAAGCGUUAUCCGGAAUCAUUGGGUUUAAAGGGUCCGUAGGCGGCCAAAUAAGUCAGUGGUGAAAGCCCAUCGCUCAACGAUGGAACGGCCAUUGAUACUGUUUGGCUUGAAUUAUUAGGAAGUAACUAGAAUAUGUAGUGUAGCGGUGAAAUGCUUAGAGAUUACAUGGAAUACCAAUUGCGAAGGCAGGUUACUACUAAUAUAUUGACGCUGAUGGACGAAAGCGUGGGGAGCGAACAGGAUUAGAUACCCCAGUAGUC
Molecule: ribosomal RNA, 460 nt
Filed under: uncultured bacterium
Lineage: Bacteria
Description: bacterial SSU rRNA
Rfam family: Bacterial small subunit ribosomal RNA
Source: RNAcentral